RNAcentral lists this ribosomal RNA (254 nucleotides) under uncultured bacterium. Its description in RNAcentral is "partial 16S ribosomal RNA". It matches the Rfam family "Bacterial small subunit ribosomal RNA", at positions 16 to 266 of the family's 1533-position model. The record is from RNAcentral.
GACAUGGCUCAGAUUGAACGCUGGCGGCAGGCUUAACACAUGCAAGUCGAACGGUAACAGGGAUUAGCUUGCUAAUUUGCUGACGAGUGGCGGACGGGUGAGUAAUGCUUGGGAAUCUGGCUUAUGGAGGGGGAUAACUACGGGAAACUGUAGCUAAUACCGCGUAAUAUCGGAAGAUUAAAGGGUGGGACUUUCGGGCCACCUGCCAUAAGAUGAGCCCAAGUGGGAUUAGGUAGUUGGUUAGGUAAAGGCUG